GACAGCACCUGCUCCGGACGUCAGGCUCUCUAAGGACGACGUGGUUCUUCCUUGUGAGGUUGAGGCGCCCGAGAGGCGAUCAGAGCUCAGAGCCGAUUCAUUCCUGCUUGACUUUGGGUCGGUGCCUCGUGAGCGAGCUCAUUUCCCGGGGUUGCGGGUCCUUGCCUGGGGACACGCGAGUUGGAGAGCGCGUGCACCGGUCGUUCCCUUCCCGUGCUGCCCGCGUCCGGAUCGUCGGGACCCGGUUGUCUCUAGUAUGUGGAAAGGCUCGGGCUGGGAACUUCGAGGGAGGAGUUACCCCCUCGAGAUCCGGAGGACCAGAGCGGAGAGCAGGGCCACUGAGACCCUACAGGAUAUGACUCCGAGGAUCGCGUGCUGGACACGAGUGGCUACCGAGCCCGGAGAGCUUCGCGCUGCCUCCUCCUGGUCCCUUUCCAGAGGACUCUUUUCAGUCGGGGAUGCUUAUUAAAGCUCUGGCGGGAAAGAGAGAAUCACAAUUAAAGAAAUUAGUCCUACUCUGCAACGUCGGACACUUUAAUAGUAACUGGGGAGCGAUUGCGUUCAGGGAGAUCGAGGACAAGUAUCCUGGCCAGAUCCUGACAUGUUUUCCCGGUAAGAGUUCUCUGCGGAGGCCACCUUUGGAGGACUCUGUAUAUUGAUGGAAGAGGGAACGCCGGAACCUAUCCCAAAAGUAUUGUCAUGGGAAUUAGGUGUGUGUGGGUUCCAGGAAGGGCGAGGACGGACGGCGCACUACCACAGUCCGAUGAAUGUUCUCAUCACCGACCUUUGGAGUUUUUCAGCAUGUUGGAUUUUUAAACAUGUUCAGGUUGGAAAAUUGAGAGUGUAAUGUUAACAGUAAAGUUUAACCUUUUAAGCUGGUGGAGGAAGUUCAGACCACACCUGAACUGGUACCUGAGAUGACAGCACUGAAUCUGAAGACAAAGAAGGAUCAAAUUAGAACUGACUAUUAUUAGUCACUACUUCAGAAAGUCUUUUUACCUUAUUUUGGGUUUCUGGAUUAAGAGAGUAGCAGACCAUCCUCAGAAGUCUCUGGCCGCUUACAGGAAGAGGAAGUGGGAGGAUUACUGGGAGAAUUCAUGAGACCUCAACUUCUCGCAAAAGAAUAUAUUCUUUGAGAAAAGAGGAACUGUGGCUUUUUUACCCUGGCUGAGAACCGUUUAUAAUUAUAGAUGAAUGACUGUAAGUGUCAAUUUUAAGAGGCAGAAAUGGAAUCUGGUGCAAGAUAAUUCAUCUUUGAAGAAAUGCUGUUCUAAGGGUAUUAUUUUUCUAUUACUUUCUCCUCUCAAGGAACAGGAUUUGUGGGGGAGGGGUGGAGUGGACCUUUCCUCCUAAUUCCUCUCUAGUCUACUUAUUAUUCAAACAAAAAUAUAACCAUGUAUAUAUAAAUAACUUCAAAUUUUACUUAGAUUUAUAAUUAGCAUUUAAUUUUGGGAAAAUUGAUUAGGAUUGCAAGAUCAACAAAAUCAAGAAUAAUAUCUAUCCCAGAGUGGUGGUGCAAACCUUUAAUCUGCACUUGGGAAGCAGAGGCAGGAAGAUCUCUGUGAGUUCAAGGCUGGUCUGGUCUACUCCAGGCUAGCCAGUGCUAUAUGGUGAGACCUGUCUCAAAACAAAAACAAAAAGAAAAUACAACAAAGACCAACAAAAAACAAAAACAACUCUGGUUUUGAUUCGAAAGCAUUAAAUAGAUAAUCUCAAAAUUGUUGAAAACUAUCAGAAUAUAAGUAAAUCCCCUUCAUUUUAUUAACAAGGCAAAAGUUCUUUAUGUUCAUUUUGCAUGUUAUAAAUUAUAAAAUUGUAAUUAAUAUUUGGAAAAUUGUAGGGAUAACUAUUGAUUUUUCUGAGAAUUCGUUUUGUUAAUUCUGUUUCUAUUUCACAAGGUAGCUAAAAUAGUAGAAUCAGGUGUUUUCUUAGGACAGUGAAAAAUAUUCAAAAAGUUUGUGGUUAAGGGCUGGAGAUGACUAACAAAAUAGGAAUUUGGCUUGUUGAUCCCAGUAUUGGUAGGUCAAGGUGGAAGGAUAGAAACUCAAGGUCAUCCGUGGCUACAUAAAGAGUUGAAGGCUAGCCUGGCCUAGGUGAGACCCUUUCUAAAACAAAGUCAGGGGAGUAAAGAAAAGUUUGUGGGUAAUAAUUUUAUUUUUAAUUAGGAGAAAUGGAAACAUGUUAACAUUCUCUAUUCUGAUGGGGAAAUCUUUAUAACUUAUUUAUAUUCCUUACAUAUUUUAUGUCAUGUUUUAAUUUUGAUAUUCUUUAUAUCUUACCAAGUUUGUUUGAAUGCACAUAGCCUUCUUCUAUAAACAAGGAGGACUGUGGGUUGUGUGGUAUUAUUUGAUUUCUUAUCAGGAAACAUCAACACUAUCCCUUAUUCUAAUGUCUACCUUGCUGCCAUGCAUGCAAAACAGGCUCCUUUGUCUGGUAUAAAUACUACAAAGAAGUCUCUAUUUGUCUGUUAAUAAAUGUAUAAACAAAAGAGUCCUAUAUAAUAAAAAUUCAAUUUAAACCUC
This 2522-nucleotide long non-coding RNA is filed under the name Mus musculus (house mouse). Its description in RNAcentral is "speedy/RINGO cell cycle regulator family member A, opposite strand, transcript variant 2 (Spdyaos)". The record is from RNAcentral. Lineage: Eukaryota; Metazoa; Chordata; Mammalia; Rodentia; Muridae.